Molecule: long non-coding RNA, 1583 nt
Filed under: Pan troglodytes (chimpanzee)
Lineage: Eukaryota; Metazoa; Chordata; Mammalia; Primates; Hominidae
Description: long non-coding RNA NONPTRT000484
Source: RNAcentral
CUGGUCUCGAACUCCUGACCUCGUGAUCCGCCCACCUCGGCCUCUCAAAGUGCUGGGAUUACAUGUGUGAGCCACCGCGCCUGGCCUAAGAGUAGUAUGAAGUGGCCCAGGCAAGAGGAACAUAUUCGGACUCGGAGGAAUGAAGGAUGAAAUGUGGGGAGGGGCAGUGUCUAUGUUCUUUUUGUCACCACUGCCAAAGCUGAGGGUUAUUUCCAAAGAAUGAGAGGCUGGGCUGAACAUUGGGCAGGAAGUUAGCAAAAACUAAGGAGGAUAGGAAUCAAGGUUAGAGGGAAGAGAAGAAUGAAAUUGAGUAGGGAGCUGAGAAAGCAGGGCGAGGGGCAUUUGGACUUACAUUUUCUUCCAGCAAAGGUUUCUUAUUUAACCCCUGUGGGCUUAUCUUGCAGCCAAACCCAUCCACCAGCAUGAAGACCGCUGCUUGAGGUUGAAGGUGACUGUCAGUGGCAAAAUCAGUGAGUGUCAGAGCCCUGUGGGCCUCCUUCCUCCAUCUCUAUGCUGGGUGCGGUCUAGUGAUCUAGGAUGGUAUAGAAGUCUUGCAGCCCAGCCCACUCAUACUUACAGCCCUCUGCCUCUUUGAUACAGUACCUGAUCUACUACCACUCUUGUCUUUCAGCUCACAGUCCUCAGGCCCAUGACAAUCCACAGGAGAAGAGACUUGCAGCAGAUGACCCAGAGGUGCGGGUUCUACAUAGCAUCGGUCACAGUGCUGCCCCACGCCUCUUCCCACUUGCCUGGACUGUGCUGCUCCUUCCACUUCUGCUGCUGCAAACCCCGUGAAGGUGUAUGCCACACCUGGCCUUAAAGAGGGACAGGCUGAAGAGAGGGACAGGCACUCCAAACCUGUCUUGGGGCCACUUUCAGAGCCCCCAGCCCUGGGAACCACUCCCACCACAGGCAUAAGCUAUCACCUAGCAGCCUCAAAACGGGUCAGUAUUAAGGGUUUCAACCGGAAGGAGGCCAACCAGCCCGGCAGUGCCAUCCCCACCUUCACCUCGGAGGGAUGGAGAAAGAAGUGGAGACAGUCCUUUCCCACCAUUCCUGCCUUUAAGCCAAAGAAACAAGCUGUGCAGACAUGGUCCCUUAAGGCACAGUGGGAGCUGAGCUGGAAGGGGCCACGUGGAUGGGCAAAGCUUGUCAAAGAUGCCCCCUCCAGGAGAGAGCCAGUAUGCCCAGAUGAACUGACUGAAGGAAAAGCAAGAAACAGUUUCUUGCUUGGGAGCCAGGUACAGGAGAGGCAGCAUGCUUGGGCUGACCCAGCAUCUCCCAGCAAGACCUCAUCUGUGGAGCUGCCACAGAGAAGUUUGUAGCCAGGUACUGCAUUCUCUCCCAUCCUGGGGCAGCACUCCCCAGAGCUGUGCCAGCAGGGGGGCUGUGCCAACCUGUUCUUAGAGUGUAGCUGUUAAGGGCAGUGCCCAUGUGUACAUUCUGCCUAGAGUGUAGCCUAAAGGGCAGGGCCCACGUGUACAGUAUCUGUAUAUAAGUUGCUGUGUGUCUGUCCUGAUUUCUACAACUGGAGUUUUUUUAUACAAUGUUCUUUGUCUCAAAAUAAAGCAAUGUGUUUUUUC